This 484-nucleotide ribosomal RNA is filed under the name uncultured Glomeromycotina. RNAcentral's name for it is "SSU rRNA". It matches the Rfam family "Eukaryotic small subunit ribosomal RNA", at positions 596 to 1081 of the family's 1831-position model. Lineage: Eukaryota; Fungi; Glomeromycota. The record is from RNAcentral.
AGCGUAUAUUAAAGUUGUUGCAGUUAAAAAGCUCGUAGUUGAAUUUCGGGNNNAGUAGGUUGGUCAUGCCUCUGGUAUGUACUGGUCUCACUGAUUCCUCCUUCCUGAUGAGCCGUAAUGCCAUUAAUUUGGUGUUGCGGGGAAUUUGGACUGUUACUUUGAAAAAAUUAGAGUGUUUAAAGCAAGCUAACGCUUGAAUACAUUAGCAUGGAAUAAUGAAAUAGGACGUUCGAUCCUAUUUUGUUGGUUUCUAGGAUUGACGUAAUGAUUAAUAGGGAUAGUUGGGGGCAUUAGUAUUCAAUUGUCAGAGGUGAAAUUCUUGGAUUUACUGAAGACUAACUACUGCGAAAGCAUUUGCCAAGGAUGUUUUCAUUAAUCAAGAACGAAAGUUAGGGGAUCGAAGACGAUCAGAUACCGUCGUAGUCUUAACCAUAAACUAUGCCGACUAGGGAUCGGAUGAUGUUAAUUUUUUAAUGACUCAUUC